CAGCCCCGGUGUACCAGCCCCAGCGGCCCCAUAAGCAGCCCCCGGUGUACCAGCCCCAGCGGCCCCAUAAGCAGCCCCCGGUGUACCAGCCCCAGCGGCCAGGUGUGCAACAUAGUGAAGCUUCUAUGUGGGAUGACCUGUUCCUCCCACCACAGCCUCAGAAGUCCCCAGUCUUCCCAACCAAGCAACCCCCAGUCUACCCACACAAGCUGCCACCCAAGGUUCCUCCCCAGCAGCCACACAAGCAACCCCCAGUUUACCCUCCCAAGGUACCUCCCAAGCAACCCCCAGUUUACCCUCCCAGGAUGCCUCCCCAGCAGCCACCCAAGCAACCCCCAGUUUACCCACCCAAGGUACCUCCCCAGCAGCCACCCAAGCAACCCCCAGUCUUGCUGCCCCAGCAGCAGCCAGGUGUGCUCCAAACCAAAGCUGGCAUGUGGCCCUAUGCUCUUGAUUUCAUUGGACAGUCUAGUGACUCAAACCCACAGGGAAAUGUUAAUCCAAGAAGUUUUAGACCAGGCCAAUACAGGUGGCAGCAGCAUGGCAGGCAGCAUCAACCAUAAGCAUCCCAACUGUUCUAGAGCUUUGGAUGGUCCUGGCAUGGCAUUCAACUUUUGUGAAAUGUAAUAAAGUUUUUGAAACUA
Long non-coding RNA from Acanthochromis polyacanthus (spiny chromis), 644 nucleotides. RefSeq lists it as uncharacterized. The record is from RefSeq and is a predicted model, not a curated record. The transcript is spliced from 2 exons. Lineage: Eukaryota; Metazoa; Chordata; Actinopteri; Pomacentridae.